Molecule: ribosomal RNA, 1555 nt
Filed under: Staphylococcus aureus
Lineage: Bacteria; Bacillati; Bacillota; Bacilli; Caryophanales; Staphylococcaceae
Description: partial 16S ribosomal RNA
Rfam family: Bacterial small subunit ribosomal RNA
Source: RNAcentral
AUAAAAUAAAAUAUAAGUGAUAUGUUAAGAGUUAAACCUUAGAGUUUGAUCCUGGCUCAGGAUGAACGCUGGCGGCGUGCCUAAUACAUGCAAGUCGAGCGAACGGACGAGAAGCUUGCUUCUCUGAUGUUAGCGGCGGACGGGUGAGUAACACGUGGAUAACCUACCUAUAAGACUGGGAUAACUUCGGGAAACCGGAGCUAAUACCGGAUAAUAUUUUGAACCGCAUGGUUCAAAAGUGAAAGACGGUCUUGCUGUCACUUAUAGAUGGAUCCGCGCUGCAUUAGCUAGUUGGUAAGGUAACGGCUUACCAAGGCAACGAUGCAUAGCCGACCUGAGAGGGUGAUCGGCCACACUGGAACUGAGACACGGUCCAGACUCCUACGGGAGGCAGCAGUAGGGAAUCUUCCGCAAUGGGCGAAAGCCUGACGGAGCAACGCCGCGUGAGUGAUGAAGGUCUUCGGAUCGUAAAACUCUGUUAUUAGGGAAGAACAUAUGUGUAAGUAACUGUGCACAUCUUGACGGUACCUAAUCAGAAAGCCACGGCUAACUACGUGCCAGCAGCCGCGGUAAUACGUAGGUGGCAAGCGUUAUCCGGAAUUAUUGGGCGUAAAGCGCGCGUAGGCGGUUUUUUAAGUCUGAUGUGAAAGCCCACGGCUCAACCGUGGAGGGUCAUUGGAAACUGGAAAACUUGAGUGCAGAAGAGGAAAGUGGAAUUCCAUGUGUAGCGGUGAAAUGCGCAGAGAUAUGGAGGAACACCAGUGGCGAAGGCGACUUUCUGGUCUGUAACUGACGCUGAUGUGCGAAAGCGUGGGGAUCAAACAGGAUUAGAUACCCUGGUAGUCCACGCCGUAAACGAUGAGUGCUAAGUGUUAGGGGGUUUCCGCCCCUUAGUGCUGCAGCUAACGCAUUAAGCACUCCGCCUGGGGAGUACGACCGCAAGGUUGAAACUCAAAGGAAUUGACGGGGACCCGCACAAGCGGUGGAGCAUGUGGUUUAAUUCGAAGCAACGCGAAGAACCUUACCAAAUCUUGACAUCCUUUGACAACUCUAGAGAUAGAGCCUUCCCCUUCGGGGGACAAAGUGACAGGUGGUGCAUGGUUGUCCUCAGCUCGUGUCGUGAGAUGUUGGGUUAAGUCCCGCAACGAGCGCAACCCUUAAGCUUAGUUGCCAUCAUUAAGUUGGGCACUCUAAGUUGACUGCCGGUGACAAACCGGAGGAAGGUGGGGAUGACGUCAAAUCAUCAUGCCCCUUAUGAUUUGGGCUACACACGUGCUACAAUGGACAAUACAAAGGGCAGCGAAACCGCGAGGUCAAGCAAAUCCCAUAAAGUUGUUCUCAGUUCGGAUUGUAGUCUGCAACUCGACUACAUGAAGCUGGAAUCGCUAGUAAUCGUAGAUCAGCAUGCUACGGUGAAUACGUUCCCGGGUCUUGUACACACCGCCCGUCACACCACGAGAGUUUGUAACACCCGAAGCCGGUGGAGUAACCUUUUAGGAGCUAGCCGUCGAAGGUGGGACAAAUGAUUGGGGUGAAGUCGUAACAAGGUAACCGA